RNAcentral lists this ribosomal RNA (253 nucleotides) under uncultured bacterium. RNAcentral's name for it is "partial 16S ribosomal RNA". It matches the Rfam family "Bacterial small subunit ribosomal RNA", at positions 524 to 776 of the family's 1533-position model. The record is from RNAcentral.
CACGUAGGGCGCAAGCGUUGUCCGGAAUUAUUGGGCGUAAAGAGCUCGUAGGCGGUCUGUUGCGUCCGCUGUGAAAACUCGGGGCUUAACCCCGAGCCUGCAAUGGAUACGGGCAGACUAGAGGUAGGUAGGGGAGAAUGGAAUUCCCGGUGUAGCGGUGAAAUGCGCAGAUAUCGGGAGGAACACCGGUGGCGAAGGCGGUUCUCUGGGUCUUACCUGACGCUGAGGCACGAAGGUCAGGGGAGCAAACGGG